RNAcentral lists this ribosomal RNA (301 nucleotides) under uncultured bacterium. RNAcentral describes it as "partial 16S ribosomal RNA". It matches the Rfam family "Bacterial small subunit ribosomal RNA", at positions 509 to 807 of the family's 1533-position model. The record is from RNAcentral.
CAGCAGCCACGGGAAUACGUAGGUGGCAAGCGUUGUCCGGAAUUAUUGGGCGUAAAGGGCUCGCAGGCGGUUUCUUAAGUCUGAUGUAAAAGCCCCCGGCUCAACCGGGGAGGGUCAUUGGAAACUGGGAAACUUGAGUGCAGAAGAGGAGAGUGGAAUUCCACGUGUAGCGGUGAAAUGCGUAGAGAUGUGGAGGAACACCAGUGGCGAAGGCGACUCUCUGGUCUGUAACUGACGCUGAGGAGCGAAAGCGUGGGGAGCGAACAGGAUUAGAUACCCCCGUAGUCCCUGUCUCUUAUAC